This 540-nucleotide ribosomal RNA is filed under the name uncultured crenarchaeote. RNAcentral describes it as "bacterial SSU rRNA". It matches the Rfam family "Archaeal small subunit ribosomal RNA", at positions 93 to 636 of the family's 1478-position model. The record is from RNAcentral. Lineage: Archaea; Thermoproteati; Thermoproteota.
GUCGCGCGUAGCCCUUUAAGCUAUGGACGGGGAUAACCUCGGGAAACUGAGACCCUACCCGAUAGAUCAUCAUGCCUGGAAUGGCCGAUGGUUGAAAUGAUUUAUCGCCAUAGGAUGGGACUGCGAUCUAUCAGCUUGUUGGUGAGGUAAUGGCCCACCAAGGCUAUAACAGAUACGGGCUCUGAGAGGACAAGCCCGGAGAUGGGUACUGACACACCGACCCCCGCCCUAUGGGGCGCAGCAAGAAAAAAAACUUUGCAAUGUGCGAAAGCACGACAAGGUUAAUCCGAGUGGUUCCUGCUAAAGGAACCUUUUGCCGGUCCUAAAAACACCGGUGAAUAAGGGGUGGGCAAGUUCUGGUGUCACCCGCCGCGGUAAAACCACCACCUCGAGUGGUCAGGAGGAUUAUUGGGCCUAAAGCAUCCGUAGCCGGCUGUGUAAGUUUUCAGUUAAAUCCAUGCGCUCAACGUAUGGGCUGCCGGGAAUACUGCACAGCUAGGGAGUGAGAGAGGUAGACUGUACUCGGUAGGGAGGGAUAAA